CGGAACGGGUGAGUAACGCGUGAGUAACCUGCCUCAAAGAGGGGGACAACAGUUGGAAACGACUGCUAAUACCGCAUAAGCCCACGGCUCGGCAUCGAGCAGAGGGAAAAGGAGUGAUCCGCUUUGAGAUGGCCUCGCGUCCGAUUAGCUGGUUGGUGAGGUAACGGCCCACCAAGGCGACGAUCGGUAGCCGGACUGAGAGGUUGAACGGCCACAUUGGGACUGAGACACGGCCCAGACUCCUACGGGAGGCAGCAUG
RNAcentral lists this ribosomal RNA (259 nucleotides) under uncultured bacterium. RNAcentral describes it as "partial 16S ribosomal RNA". It matches the Rfam family "Bacterial small subunit ribosomal RNA", at positions 98 to 353 of the family's 1533-position model. The record is from RNAcentral.